Molecule: non-coding RNA, 73 nt
Organism: Pangasius djambal
Lineage: Eukaryota; Metazoa; Chordata; Actinopteri; Siluriformes; Pangasiidae
Source: the annotation of a GenBank genome assembly
GGCAGUGGUGGCUCAAUGGUUAAGGCUCUGGGUUAUUUAUCAAGAGAUUGGGGUUCAAGCCCCAGCACUGCCA